UUGGGCGUAAAGCGCGCGCAGGCGGUCCUUUAAGUCUGAUGUGAAAGCCCACGGCUCAACCGUGGAGGGUCAUUGGAAACUGGGGGACUUGAGUACAGAAGAGGAAAGUGGAAUUCCAUGUGUAGCGGUGAAAUGCGUAGAGAUGUGGAGGAACACCAGUGGCGAAGGCGACUUUCUGGUCUGUAACUGACGCUGAGGCGCGAAAGCGUGGGGAGCAAACAGGAUUAGACACCCUGGUAGUCCACGCCGUAAACGAUGAGUGCUAAGUGUUAGGGGGUUUCCGCCCCUUAGUGCUGCAGCUAACGCAUUAAGCACUCCGCCUGGGGAGUACGGCCGCAAGGCUGAAACUCAAAGGAAUUGACGGGGGCCCGCACAAGCGGUGGAGCAUGUGGUUUAAUUCGAAGCAACGCGAAGAACCUUACCAGGUCUUGACAUCCCGCUGCCCGGCAUAGAGAUAUGCUUUUCCCUUCGGGGACAGCGGUGACAGGUGGUGCAUGGUUGUCGUCAGCUCGUGUCGUGAGAUGUUGGGUUAAGUCCCGCAACGAGCGCAACCCUUGAUCUUAGUUGCCAGCAUUCAGUUGGGCACUCUAAGGUGACUGCCGGUGACAAACCGGAGGAAGGUGGGGAUGACGUCAAAUCAUCAUGCCCCUUAUGACCUGGGCUACACACGUGCUACAAUGGACGGUACAAAGGGCUGCAAACCCGCGAGGGUAAGCCAAUCCCAGAAAACCGUUCUCAGUUCGGAUUGCAGGCUGCAACUCGCCUGCAUGAAGCCGGAAUCGCUAGUAAUCG
RNAcentral lists this ribosomal RNA (792 nucleotides) under uncultured Bacillota bacterium. Its description in RNAcentral is "bacterial SSU rRNA". It matches the Rfam family "Bacterial small subunit ribosomal RNA", at positions 554 to 1344 of the family's 1533-position model. Lineage: Bacteria; Bacillati; Bacillota. The record is from RNAcentral.